GACGAACGCUGGCGGCGUGCUUAACACAUGCAAGUCGAACGGAAAGGCCCUGCUUUUGUGGGGUGCUCGAGUGGCGAACGGGUGAGUAACACGUGAGUAACCUGCCCUUGACUUUGGGAUAACUUCAGGAAACUGGGGCUAAUACCGGAUAGGAGCUCCUGCUGCAUGGUGGGGGUUGGAAAGUUUCGGCGGUUGGGGAUGGACUCGCGGCUUAUCAGCUUGUUGGUGGGGUAGUGGCUUACCAAGGCUUUGACGGGUAGCCGGCCUGAGAGGGUGACCGGCCACAUUGGGACUGAGAUACGGCCCAGACUCCUACGGGAGGCAGCAGUGGGGAAUAUUGCACAAUGGGCGGAAGCCUGAUGCAGAGACGCCGCGUGCGGGAUGACGGCCUUCGGGUUGUAAACCGCUUUCGCCUGUGACGAAGCGUGAGUGACGGUAAUGGGUAAAGAAGCACCGGCUAACUACGUG
Molecule: ribosomal RNA, 468 nt
Filed under: uncultured bacterium
Lineage: Bacteria
Description: partial 16S ribosomal RNA
Rfam family: Bacterial small subunit ribosomal RNA
Source: RNAcentral